GCCAGUGAUGCUACACCCUACAUUUGGAGGUGCAGAUGACUCCAGGAUCCUGUUUACAGGAUGAACCUACCUGGAGGCGCUGUGUCUGCAUGACAUUCAUGGGCAAGUCUGAGGU
This 115-nucleotide small nucleolar RNA is filed under the name Hordeum vulgare subsp. vulgare (domesticated barley). Its description in RNAcentral is "Small nucleolar RNA Z278". It matches the Rfam family "Small nucleolar RNA Z278". Rfam says of the family: snoZ278 is a C/D box small nucleolar RNA. Its methylation guide targets have not been reported. The record is from Rfam by way of RNAcentral. Lineage: Eukaryota; Viridiplantae; Streptophyta; Magnoliopsida; Poales; Poaceae.